Cordylochernes scorpioides is the source of this 115-nucleotide non-coding RNA. The record is from the annotation of a GenBank genome assembly. NCBI's taxonomy places the organism in Eukaryota, Metazoa, Arthropoda, Arachnida, Pseudoscorpiones, Chernetidae.
ACAGCCAUACUAAAUUGAAAACACCGGUUCUCGUCCGAUCACCCAAGUUAAGCAAUGUUGGGCCUGGUCAGUAUUUGGGAGGGUGACCACCUGGGAACACCGGGUACUGUAGGCU